RNAcentral lists this ribosomal RNA (467 nucleotides) under uncultured bacterium. Its description in RNAcentral is "partial 16S ribosomal RNA". It matches the Rfam family "Bacterial small subunit ribosomal RNA", at positions 28 to 507 of the family's 1533-position model. The record is from RNAcentral.
GACGAACGCUGGCGGCGUGCUUAACACAUGCAAGUCGAACGAUGACGACCGAGCUUGCUCGGUCUGAUUAGUGGCGAACGGGUGAGUAACACGUGAGCAACCUGCCCUUCACUCUGGGAUAACCUCGGGAAAUCGGGGCUAAUACCGGAUAUGAGCUCCUGUCGCAUGGCGGGUGUUGGAAAGUUUUUCGGUGAAGGAUGGGCUCGCGGCCUAUCAGUUUGUUGGUGAGGUAGUGGCUCACCAAGGCGAUGACGGGUAGCCGGCCUGAGAGGGCGACCGGCCACACUGGGACUGAGACACGGCCCAGACUCCUACGGGAGGCAGCAGUGGGGAAUAUUGCACAAUGGGCGAAAGCCUGAUGCAGCGACGCCGCGUGAGGGAUGACGGCCUUCGGGUUGUAAACCUCUUUCAGCAGGGAAGAAGCGAAAGUGACGGUACCUACAGAAGAAGCGCCGGCUAACUACGUG